RNAcentral lists this ribosomal RNA (231 nucleotides) under uncultured bacterium. Its description in RNAcentral is "partial 16S ribosomal RNA". It matches the Rfam family "Bacterial small subunit ribosomal RNA", at positions 15 to 237 of the family's 1533-position model. The record is from RNAcentral.
GAUCCUGGCUCAGGAUGAACGCUAGCUACAGGCUUAAUACAUGCAAGUCGAGGGGCAGCGGGAUUGAAGCUUGCUUCAAUUGCCGGCGACCGGCGCACGGGUGAGUAACGCGUAUCCAACCUUCCGUACACUCAGGGAUAGCCUUUCGAAAGAAAGAUUAAUACCCGAUGGUAUGAUGAGAUUGCAUGAUAGCAUCAUUAAAGAUUUAUCGGUGUACGAUGGGGAUGCGUU